This 464-nucleotide ribosomal RNA is filed under the name Vreelandella stevensii. Its description in RNAcentral is "partial 16S ribosomal RNA". It matches the Rfam family "Bacterial small subunit ribosomal RNA", at positions 338 to 795 of the family's 1533-position model. Lineage: Bacteria; Pseudomonadati; Pseudomonadota; Gammaproteobacteria; Oceanospirillales; Halomonadaceae. The record is from RNAcentral.
CCUAGGGAGGCAGCAGUGGGGAAUAUUGGACAAUGGGCGAAAGCCUGAUCCAGCCAUGCCGCGUGUGUGAAGAAGGCCUUCGGGUUGUAAAGCACUUUCAGUGGGGAAGAAAGCCUUGGGGCUAAUACCCUCGAGGAAGGACAUCACCCACAGAAGAAGCACCGGCUAACUCCGUGCCAGCAGCCGCGGUAAUACGGAGGGUGCGAGCGUUAAUCGGAAUUACUGGGCGUAAAGCGCGCGUAGGCGGUCUGAUAAGCCGGUUGUGAAAGCCCCGGGCUCAACCUGGGAACGGCAUCCGGAACUGUCAGGCUAGAGUGCAGGAGAGGAAGGUAGAAUUCCCGGUGUAGCGGUGAAAUGCGUAGAGAUCGGGAGGAAUACCAGUGGCGAAGGCGGUCUUCUGGACUGACACUGACGCUGAGGUGCGAAAGCGUGGGUAGCAAACAGGAUUAGAUACCCGGGUAGUC